AUUGAACGCUGGCGGCAUGCUUUACACAUGCAAGUCGAACGGUAGCAGGCCGCAAGGUGCUGACGAGUGGCGAACGGGUGAGUAAUGCAUCGGAACGUGCCCAGUCGUGGGGGAUAACUACUCGAAAGAGUAGCUAAUACCGCAUACGAUCUAUGGAUGAAAGCGGGGGACCGUAAGGCCUCGCGCGAUUGGAGCGGCCGAUGUCAGAUUAGGUAGUUGGUGGGGUAAGGGCUCACCAAGCCAACGAUCUGUAGCUGGUCUGAGAGGACGACCAGCCACACUGGGACUGAGACACGGCCCAGACUCCUACGGGAGGCAGCAGUGGGGAAUUUUGGACAAUGGGCGCAAGCCUGAUCCAGCAAUGCCGCGUGCAGGAAGAAGGCCUUCGGGUUGUAAACUGCUUUUGUACGGAACGAAACGGCUCUGGUUAAUACCCGGGGCUAAUGACGGUACCGUAAGAAUAAGCACCGGCUAACUACGU
RNAcentral lists this ribosomal RNA (481 nucleotides) under uncultured bacterium. RNAcentral describes it as "partial 16S ribosomal RNA". It matches the Rfam family "Bacterial small subunit ribosomal RNA", at positions 30 to 506 of the family's 1533-position model. The record is from RNAcentral.